GUCGAACGAAGGCCCCUCUUCGGNGGGUGUCCUUAGUGGCGGACGGGUGAGUAACACGUGGGAACCUACCUAGCAGUACGGAAUAACUGUGGGAAACUGCAGCUAAUACCGUAUACGCCCCGAGGGGGAAAGAUUUAUCGCUGUUAGAUGGGCCCGCGUCCGAUUAGCUAGUUGGUGGGGUAACGGCCUACCAAGGCGACGAUCGGUAGCUGGUCUGAGAGGAUGAUCAGCCACACUGGGACUGAGACACGGCCCAGACUCCUACGGGAGGCAGCAGUGGGGAAUAUUGGACAAUGGGGGCAACCCUGAUCCAGCCAUGCCGCGUGAGUGAAGAAGGCCUUAGGGUUGUAAAACUCUUUCACCGGGGACGAUGAUGACGGUACCCCGGAGAAGAAGCCCCGGCUAACUCCGUGCCAGCAGCCGCGGU
This 427-nucleotide ribosomal RNA is filed under the name uncultured Alphaproteobacteria bacterium. RNAcentral describes it as "bacterial SSU rRNA". It matches the Rfam family "Bacterial small subunit ribosomal RNA", at positions 61 to 521 of the family's 1533-position model. The record is from RNAcentral. Lineage: Bacteria; Pseudomonadati; Pseudomonadota; Alphaproteobacteria.